CAGCAGCUAAAAAUAACGGAGAGCAACUGCACCCCAACCCCAACCAGCAGCUCCCUGAGGCCCUCCACCCUUAAGUUUUUGUCAGUUCCAGUCUCCAGCCGAAGGCCUCAUAGAAGUUAAGUGAACCAUAGCCGCCCAGUCCUCCCGGGAAGACGGUAAGGAUAGGCAGUGGCAGGCUCAGGGCCCACGACUCAGGGGAUAGGGGCUUUAGGGUCUGGGAUUAGGUCCUGGCAUUCCGGCGGUUACACGACUGCUGCGGAAAGCCUGGGAGCUGAGAAGAUGAGGCCCCGGGGGCUGGACAGCCUGGAGAUUGUCAGGAUUGGGUCGGAAGGGGAGGGGAGUUAGAGGCUGCUGGGCUGCGAGGCUGGACGCCUGGGAAGGGGCAGAAAAGUAGGGCUGCGGGGCGGAGGUGCGCGCUGAGAGGUGAGAGCCUGGCAGUACCUGACAGGCUGAGCGCCCCGGAGGUGAGGCCGGCGGUCGGUCAGAUAGAGGGACGGAUCGGGAACAGGGAAAAACUAAGGAAAUGCAGCUUGAAAAGGUAGUGUGUGAGGGAGACCUGGCCGUUGCAAGGCGGCGUGGAAACCCGAGGAGACUGGGACCAGACAGCAGCCGUGGCGUUGGCUCCCGGUCCCUUGAGCGCCGCCGCCCCGCAGGCCAGCCAUUUUGACAGGUAUAAGGUGAUAUCUCAUUGUGGUUUGAUCUGCAUUUCCCUGUUUAUAAGAAAGCCACUGAUUUCUGCACAUUGACUUUGUAUCCUGCCACGUUGCUGAAUUGCUGUAUGAGUUCUAGUAGUUUGGGGGUGGAGUCUUUUGGGUUUUCCAUAUAAAGAAUCAUGUCAUCUGCGAAGAGAGAGAGUUUGACUUUGAUAUCAGCCACAACAACUUCUUUCAAGAUAUGUCUCCAAAGGCAAAGGAAACAAAAGCGAAAAUAAACUUUUGGGACUUCAUCAAAAUCAAAAGCUUCUGCACAGCAAAGGAAACAGUCAAAAAAACAAAGAGGCAACCCACGGAAUGGGAGAAGAUAUUUGCAAAUGACAGUACAGACAAAAGGUUGAUAUCCAGGAUCUGUAAUGAACUCCUCAAACUCAACACACACGAAACAGGCAAACAUAUCAAAAAAUGGGAAGAAGAUAUGAACAGACACUUCUCCAAUCAAGACAUACAAAUGGCUAUCAGACACAUGAAAAAAUGUUCAUCAUCGCUAGCCCUCAGGGAGAUUCAAAUUAAAACCACAUUGAGAUAUCACCUUACACCAGUUAGAAUGGCCAAAAUUAACAAAACAGUAAACAACAUGUGCUGGAGAGGAUGUGGAGAAAGGGGAACCCUCUUACACUGUUGGUGGGAAUGCAAGUUGGUGCAGCCUCUUUGGAGAACAGUGUGGAGAUUCCUCAAGAAAUUAAAAAUAGA
Molecule: long non-coding RNA, 1406 nt
Organism: Mustela lutreola (European mink)
Lineage: Eukaryota; Metazoa; Chordata; Mammalia; Carnivora; Mustelidae
Exons: 3
Source: RefSeq, a predicted model, not a curated record